RNAcentral lists this ribosomal RNA (253 nucleotides) under uncultured bacterium. Its description in RNAcentral is "partial 16S ribosomal RNA". It matches the Rfam family "Bacterial small subunit ribosomal RNA", at positions 524 to 776 of the family's 1533-position model. The record is from RNAcentral.
GACGAACCGAGCGAACGUUGUUCGGAAUCACUGGGCUUAAAGGGCGCGUAGGCGGGCUGCCAAGUUUGGGGUGAAAUCCUCCGGCUCAACCGGGGAAGGGCCUCGAAUACUGGCGGUCUGGAGGGAGGUAGGGGCGUGCGGAACUGUAGGUGGAGCGGUGAAAUGCGUUGAUAUCUACAGGAACUCCGGUGGCGAAGGCGGCACGCUGGACCUUUUCUGACGCUGAGGCGCGAAAGCCAGGGGAGCGAACGGG